This 449-nucleotide ribosomal RNA is filed under the name Maoridrilus modestus. RNAcentral's name for it is "partial 16S ribosomal RNA". It matches the Rfam family "Bacterial large subunit ribosomal RNA", at positions 1859 to 2598 of the family's 2925-position model. Lineage: Eukaryota; Metazoa; Annelida; Clitellata; Crassiclitellata; Acanthodrilidae. The record is from RNAcentral.
CUGCCCAGUGAUUAAGUUUAAACGGCCGCGGUAUCCUAACCGUGCAAAGGUAGCAUAAUCACUUGCCUAUUAAUUGUAGGCUAGAAUGAACGGAUAAACGUAAUAGACACUGUCUCUAUCAUUACCAUAUAAAUUAACAUCUGUACGAAGAGUUACAGAUAAAAUCGAAGGACAAGAAGACCCUAUAGAGCUUUAUUUUAACUAUGAAGGAAUCAUAUAAAAUUCGGUUGGGGCGACCAAGGGAGUAUUAAACACCCUCAAGUAUAAAGAUUUAUAGAUCCAUAAAAUGACCCUAGUAAGAUCACAAGAAUAAGCUACCUUAGGGAUAACAGGCUAAUUCUAUUAAAGAGUUCAUAUCCACAAUAGAGUUUGGCACCUCGAUGUUGGCUUAGGGUAUCACCUUAGCGCAAAAGUUAAGUCUAGAUGGUUUGUUCAACCAGUAACCCCUA